RNAcentral lists this ribosomal RNA (179 nucleotides) under uncultured eukaryote. Its description in RNAcentral is "partial 18S ribosomal RNA". It matches the Rfam family "Eukaryotic small subunit ribosomal RNA", at positions 1299 to 1458 of the family's 1831-position model. The record is from RNAcentral.
UGGUGGAGUGAUUUGUCUGGUUAAUUCCGUUAACGAACGAGACCUCAAUCUACUAAAUAGUUAUAUGUAUUGUGAAGGGUGUGAUGUUUUUCUUCGGAAAGGCGUGCAUCCGAUACAUAGACAACUUCUUGGAGGGACAGUCGAUAUCAUUAAGACGAAGGAAGUGUGAGGCAAUAACA